UGGGGGAAUAUUGCACAAUGGGCGAAAGCCUGAUGCAGCAACGCCGCGUGAGCGAAGAAGGUCUUCGGAUUGUAAAGCUCUGUCCCUGGGGAAGAUAAUGACGGUACCCAAGGAGGAAGCCCCGGCUAACUACGUGCCAGCAGCCGCGGUAAUACGUAGGGGGCGAGCGUUAUCCGGAAUUAUUGGGCGUAAAGAGUGCGUAGGUGGUUACCUAAGCAGGGGGUGAAAGGCACUGGCUUAACCAAUGUCAGCCCUCUGAACUGGGCUACUUGAGUGCAGGAGAGGAAAGCGGAAUUCCUAGUGUAGCGGUGAAAUGCGUAGAUAUUAGGAGGAACACC
Molecule: ribosomal RNA, 338 nt
Filed under: uncultured Anaerovorax sp.
Lineage: Bacteria; Bacillati; Bacillota; Clostridia; Peptostreptococcales; Anaerovoracaceae
Description: bacterial SSU rRNA
Rfam family: Bacterial small subunit ribosomal RNA
Source: RNAcentral